GUAAGUAAGCACAUACGCCGCGCUCUCACUAUAUAAAGAAGAAUCCCGGGUUUGUCAAAUUAGUUCUCUCACAGGAAUCAAACAGUAAACAUGUUCAAGGUUAUUCUUGCCUCUGCCCUGGUUGCUGCUGUUGCUGCUAUCCCUGCCAACCCUGGCUAUGGAGCACCUGCCCCUUAUCAGGAGGAGAAGCUGGCCCCUCAGCCCUUUGCCUACCAAUAUGGAGUAAAUGAUGACUACAGCAAGGCUAACUUCCAGAAGGAAGAGAACCAGGAUGCCUACGGUAAUGUUGCUGGAUCUUACACCAUUGCCCUUCCCGACGGAAGGAUCCAGACCACCAGAUACACUGCCACCCAUGAAGAUGGAUUCAUCGCUGAUGUUUCUUACGAGGGAGUUCCCCAGUACCCCGCAGAGAAGGCUUAUGCCCCUAAGGCUGCCCCUGCCUACGCUCCCGCCCCUGCCUAUGCCCCUGCCCCUGCCUACCAUGCUUAAGAGGAUGAAGAAAUAGUGAAAAUAUUUAUCUAUUUAUUUCAUCUAAUAAAACAUUAAAUCCUUUAAUAUUUAUGCUUGUGUUUUUGUAAUUAUCAGUGGGAAGUUCCGUAAACAAACAAAGUAUUUUAGAAAAAUAAAAGUCAAUUAAUGGGGUCACCACUUUA
Molecule: RNA transcript, 653 nt
Organism: Eurytemora carolleeae
Lineage: Eukaryota; Metazoa; Arthropoda; Copepoda; Calanoida; Temoridae
Gene name: cuticle protein 7-like
Exons: 3
Source: RefSeq, a predicted model, not a curated record